CUACGUGCCAGCAGCCGCGGUAAUACGUAGGUCCCGAGCGUUGUCCGGAUUUAUUGGGCGUAAAGCGAGCGCAGGCGGUUAGAUAAGUCUGAAGUUAAAGGCUGUGGCUUAACCAUAGUACGCUUUGGAAACUGUUUAACUUGAGUGCAAGAGGGGAGAGUGGAAUUCCAUGUGUAGCGGUGAAAUGCGUAGAUAUAUGGAGGAACACCGGUGGCGAAAGCGGCUCUCUGGCUUGUAACUGACGCUGAGGCUCGAAAGCGUGGGGAGCAAACAGGAUUAGAUACCCUGGUAGUCCACGCCGUAAACGAUGAGUGCUAGGUGUUAGACCCUUUCCGGGGUUUAGUGCCGUAGCUGACGCAUUAAGCACUCCGCCUGGGGAGUACGGUCGCAAGAUUAAAACUCAAAGGAAUAGACGGGGACCCGCACAAGCGGUGGAGCAUGUGGUUUAAUUCGAAGAUACGCGAAGAACCUUACCCGGACUUGAUAUC
Molecule: ribosomal RNA, 488 nt
Filed under: uncultured bacterium
Lineage: Bacteria
Description: bacterial SSU rRNA
Rfam family: Bacterial small subunit ribosomal RNA
Source: RNAcentral